This 436-nucleotide ribosomal RNA is filed under the name uncultured bacterium. RNAcentral's name for it is "bacterial SSU rRNA". It matches the Rfam family "Bacterial small subunit ribosomal RNA", at positions 29 to 508 of the family's 1533-position model. The record is from RNAcentral.
AACGAACGCUGGCGGCAGGCUUAACACAUGCAAGUCGAACGCGUGUAGCAAUACACGAGUGGCGCACGGGUGAGUAACGCGUGGAUAUCUGCCUUUUGGUUCGGAAUAACCCCGGGAAACUGGGGCUAAUACCGGAUGGUUCCUUCGGGAUAAAGAUUUAUCGCCAAAAGAUGAGUCCGCGUACGAUUAGCUAGUUGGUGAGGUAAUGGCUCACCAAGGCGACGAUCGUUAGCUGGUCUGAGAGGACGAUCAGCCACACUGGGACUGAGACACGGCCCAGACUCCUACGGGAGGCAGCAGUGGGGAAUAUUGGACAAUGGGGGCAACCCUGAUCCAGCCAUGCCGCGUGAGUGAUGAAGGCCUUCGGGUUGUAAAGCUCUUUUGGCGGGGACGAUGAUGACGGUACCCGCAGAAUAAGCCCCGGCUAACUUCGUGC